RNAcentral lists this transfer RNA (76 nucleotides) under Mycoplasmoidaceae bacterium. Its description in RNAcentral is "tRNA-Met". It matches the Rfam family "tRNA". Rfam says of the family: Transfer RNA (tRNA) molecules are approximately 80 nucleotides in length. Their secondary structure includes four short double-helical elements and three loops (D, anti-codon, and T loops). Further hydrogen bonds mediate the characteristic L-shaped molecular structure. tRNAs have two regions of fundamental functional importance: the anti-codon, which is responsible for specific mRNA codon recognition, and the 3' end, to which the tRNAs corresponding amino acid is attached (by aminoacyl-tRNA synthetases). tRNAs cope with the degeneracy of the genetic code in two manners: having more than one tRNA (with a specific anti-codon) for a particular amino acid; and 'wobble' base-pairing, i.e. permitting non-standard base-pairing at the 3rd anti-codon position. Lineage: Bacteria; Bacillati; Mycoplasmatota; Mycoplasmoidales; Mycoplasmoidaceae. The record is from RNAcentral.
CGCGGAGUGGAGCAGUGGUUAGCUCGUCAGGCUCAUAACCUGGAGGUCGUUGGUUCGAAUCCUUCCUCCGCAACCA